UUUGAAGCUGGUGGAUUUGUGAGGGUAGCAUAUGUUGCAGGUGUUUGUUUAAUAAGACCUGGCAACGAUUCCCCAAAACAUUUGGUUUAUGGUUCUCAGAGAGAUGAAAAUUUGAAUAUAGAGGGAAUUGAAACAAUUCCUAUUGAUUCUAUAAAUUGGUAUGCGUCACAUGGUUUCAACUAAGCCUUAAUCAUAUUCAACGUUAAGUUGAUACUUAAUUCUCCAGUACAAUAUAGAAUGUUCGAGUAAGCAGGCGUGCUUUUUGUGUAGAAGCUUCUUCGAGAGAAGGAGUGGAACGAAAAGCAAUGAGAAUCCUGGUGGUAGUAGGAUGUGAUUUUCCUGAGAAUGGAAAACGUCGAAAGGGUAAGGUUUCCUUGGCAAUAUAUUUUAGCCAAGGGUUAGUCAGCGCCUUAGUCGUAUCUUAACUGAGUACGACGAUGGACAACAGGUUAAUAUUCCUGUACUGAUUAAAUUUUACAUGAUAUGAAAUGCUUUCGGAUAAGCAAGCACUCGAGAGGGUGUUCUGAUAAAGAAAUUUUGGGAGCGUAAUGCUUAGAUCUUUAUUAAUUUGUCAGACAAAAUUGCUGACUCCAGGAGCCAGUGAAAAGCCAUAUUGUUAAACGGAUUUAGUCAGCUGUACCCACAACCGACACUGGUGCCCUAGCUGAGAAGGCUAAGACGUGAAAGGUGAAACCAACUAAGGGAACUCGGCAAUUUGGUCCUGUAGCUUCGGCUGAAGGGAUGUCUAUCUUUGUUCUUCUAGAAAUAUUGGAGCAUUGGUAGAUCACAGUAACAAAGAUGGCCCGACUGUUUACCAAAAACGUAGCCGAGCGCGAAUCCGAAAGGAUGUGUAUGCUCGGUGAGACCUGCCCAGUGGUGGUGUGUCAAACUCUUUUUCAAAGGAGCUAAGCCCCAUCAAACGGCGGGAGUAACUAUGACUCUCUUAAGGUUUCAGUAACUUGAAAGUGGUUACAAACGUGGCCUUACGGUUUUCUCGUUUUAUCGACGGGAAAAACGCUUCAAGAGUCAGAGAAAGUAAAUAGUUAAAUGAAAUUGUGCUUCGCAAGAUUGAUAAGAAAUGUUAAUGUAAAAUUCGCGGGGUUUUGUUAUUAGCAAUUUAGACUAAUCGAGCAACAGCGAGCAAUUAAGAGUUACAGAAUUAAAAUAAGAGUUAAACCAAAGAAGAAAAUCGAGCUAUAUGCUGGAACGUCCGAGAAUAUUUGAGUACCGUCGAGAAAUUGAUGGUAAAAAUCUCAAAUUGCGGACAACCAUGCAGGAAAGACUAGAAUUAGUUAUUAUUUUAAAAAGGUAACAAAGAGAAAGGUUUAUAAAGUGUUUUUCUAUUAAAAAAUCAUGACAUAUGAAUUAUACGCGUAUGCUACUAGAGCAGAUGAUGGAACACUUAGAAUCCUUCAUACAAAUGAUGUAUAUAAGAGUGAAUCAGUAUCUUUAACAUCUAGAGGAAGAUAUAGAAUACCUGUAUGUGGUGAUAAGGAGACAAUAGAAAGAUAUGGUAAUUUUUUUCCUAGAGAAAAUACUGAUCAUGAGUUAGUUGAUGUUAGACCUCUUUUAGAGUCUAAUGUUUUAUCAAAAGAUUCUUUAUUAGAUAUCUCAUUAGGAACUGAAAAGCUUGAAGAUAAAUUAAGAAAAAAUUAAUUCUAGAAUCCUCAGACACUAAUACGCUCGACACAAUUUAUAUAAAAUCUAACAUAUUUCAGAAUUAGUGGAAAUAGAAUAUUCUAAGCAUUGGUUGAAGAAAAAACUCAAGAAGAGAAAAGAUAUAACCAAUGAUAUGAUAGAGUAUGCUCUUAGCAAUUCAAAAGAACUAAGAGAUAAAGAGUGGAAAGAUGCUUUAAAUGCAAUUUCCAAAAUUCCACAAUCUGGAAGAACUUUAAAAGUCGUAUAUAAAAAAUCAAAAGGAAAAGUAUUUAUAAUUACGGCAUUUUGGUUAAAUUAAUAUGAAAGCAAAAGAAAUAUGGUAUGAUGACGAAGCAGACGUGCUCAAUGUAGAAAUAAAUGAUAAAGAUUAUUGGAAAAGCAUUGAGAUUGGAAACGGAGUAGUUAUAGACAUAGCAAAAGAUGGUUCAAUGACAUCCAUUGAGAUAUUAAAUGCUAGCAAGCUAUUUCGUGGAGAAGCACGAAAAGUCAUUGAAAGUGCAAAAUCUGUUUCUGAAGAAUAAGUUGUGAAGAUAGAGUGCGAUCUUUAUGGCGACAUAAAGCAAAAUAAUUGAGUGAUCAAUUAUUGAACAACAAAUAUAAGCGUAAUGCCUUGUCGUCUGAAUGGCGACGUGCAUGAAUGGUUUAACGAGGUUGUCCCUGUCCCUAGUUGGGACCUUCUGAACACACUUCGUGGCGAAAAUGCCACGGACACCUAGUGGGAAGCGAAGACCUUGUGGAACUUUACUGCAACUUGUUGUUGUAAUUUUAAGAGAUACACAUAGAAUAAGUAGGAGCGUAGAAGUCGUAAUUUAGGUUGCGAUGGAGCGAAAGUGUAAUACUACUUGUUUUUCUUAAUUUUGCUUACUCUUUAUGAGAACAGUAACAGGCGGGCAGUUUGGCUGGGGCGGCGCCCUGUCGAAAAAAUAUCGAUAGGACCCUAAGACAAGCUCAUCCGGCUUGGAAACCCGGAGUUGAGUGCGAGGGCAAAAGCUUGUCUGAAUGUAUUCUGAUUAGCAAGGAAUGCAUGAUCGAAAGAUUGGCCUAGUGAACCCACGUGCUUUUUUAAUAGAAGCCGUGUCUGAUAGAAAAGUUACCCCAAGGAUAACAGGCUUGUCGCCCCCGAUAGUCCAUAUUGACGGGGCGGUUUGGUACAUCGCUGUCGGCUCUACCUAUCCUGCGCGUGCAGAAGCGUGCAAGGGUGUCGGAGUUCACGCAUUAAAAGGUAUCGUUAGCUGGGUUAAGAACGUCGCGAGACAGUUUGUAUGAUAUCUACUAGGUGUGUUGUUGUCUGAGUGUAACGAGCUUGUAGUACGAGAGGAACCAGGCUCGGACGCCUCUGGUGAGCAGUUGUCAAAUGGCAGGCUGCAUAGCUACGCGUCAUCUGGAUAAGAGCUGAAUGCAUCUAAGCUCGAAGCCACACGCAAAACGAGACAACUAAGGCCGUCGUAGAAGACGACGUUGAUAGAGUUGCUGUGUAAGAUUCAAGCUUCGGCGAGAAUUUCAGCAGACAACUACUAAAAGCUUUAUUGAGAUUUUGU
RNAcentral lists this ribosomal RNA (3197 nucleotides) under Candidatus Pacearchaeota archaeon. Its description in RNAcentral is "partial 23S ribosomal RNA". It matches the Rfam family "Archaeal large subunit ribosomal RNA", at positions 1053 to 2987 of the family's 2987-position model. The record is from RNAcentral. Lineage: Archaea; Nanobdellati.